UCCUUGAUGGCCCAAUGGUUGGGAAUCUGCUUUCCAAUGCAGGGGACGUGGGUUCAAUUCCUGGUCAGGGAA
This 72-nucleotide transfer RNA is filed under the name Ovis aries (sheep). It matches the Rfam family "tRNA". From Rfam's summary of the family: Transfer RNA (tRNA) molecules are approximately 80 nucleotides in length. The record is from Rfam by way of RNAcentral. Lineage: Eukaryota; Metazoa; Chordata; Mammalia; Artiodactyla; Bovidae.